GACGAACGCUGGCGGCGUGCUUAACACAUGCAAGUCGAACGGAAAGGCCCCUUUGGUGUUACUCGCUUGGCUGACGGGUGAGUAACACGUAAGUAACCUACCCUUGCCUUCCUGUUAACUUCCGUCAACUGGGUCUAAUACCGGACAGGAAUCCUUUCUGCAUGGUUGGGGUUGGUAGGCUUCGGCGGUUGGGGAUGGACUCGCGGCUUAUCAGCUUGUUGGUGGGGUAGUGGCUUACCAAGGCUUUGACGGGUAGCCGGCCUGAGAGGGCGACCGGCCACAUUGGGACUGAGAUACGGCCCAGACUCCUACGGGAGGCAGCAGUGGGGAAUAUUGCACAAUGGGCGGAAGCCUGAUGCAGCAACGCCGCGUGCGGGAUGACGGCCUUCGGGUUGUAAACCGCUUUCGGCAGGGACGAAGCUUGUGUGACGGUAACUGCAGAAGAAGCACCGGCUAACUACGUG
RNAcentral lists this ribosomal RNA (464 nucleotides) under uncultured bacterium. RNAcentral describes it as "partial 16S ribosomal RNA". It matches the Rfam family "Bacterial small subunit ribosomal RNA", at positions 28 to 507 of the family's 1533-position model. The record is from RNAcentral.